AUGCAAUCGCCAGCACAGAGACCUCCUGUACCAUGCCCCACCCCUUGCCCCGCCUCGCCCCGCCUCCAUUGGCCGUCCCUCGGCGGCGCCGGUUGCCGAUUGGGGCGCGGCGGCCGCCAGUCACGGUGCGGCGCGGCUGGCAUGCGGGCUGCGCGCCCUGUGCCGCGCGGAUCUGACCUACUAACACACAUCCCUCCGCGCCGCCGCAGCUGUUGCACGCUCUCGUUCGCCUCGCGUACGGGCAAGCGGGGCGACGCUGCCUGCGGCACAGCACGGCACAGCACGGCACAGCACAGCACUCCACUGCACUCCACUGCACUCCAAUCUCGCCUCGCCUCGCCGGAUGCUUGGUGCCCUGCCGAGCACUCAAGUUUUUGCCACAGAGACGGGUUAACUGCUGUGAAGCAAGUACAGGUGCCAGUGCUGCAAGAUCUCCUCUUUGGAGUGGUACACAACUAUAAAGAAAAAGGAACUUGGUGCAGGCGGUGUUACUCUUCAAACCUGACCUGACUUGUGGCAUUGGAGCUCUGAAGGUUGCUAUUUCUCUGUUCCAUUUGCAGUGAGUGGUAGAUAUCAGCAUUUUACAAAUCGUGUUUAUUUAACAUGUUUGCACUUCAGUUAUAUAGUGCAAUACAUAUUUAGAGUACCCGCUGGGAUUAAUUGACAUAAUUCUGCUGCUUUUAAAUAGCACUGUGUAAAUUUAGGUCAGCCAAAGGUCUGAUCCAUGCUUGGCAUUUUAAGAAUACUGUUCAAGUGAUAAGAGCCAUUUAUUGCCAGAAUAAUUAAUGAGUGAUUUUCUAUUUUCUAACGGUUCUUAAUUAGGAGAACACAGUUCUUAUUCCCAGAGCACUGGUACUCUUAAGUGAUUGCUUUGCGCAGUGUAGUUUUUUCCUACAUCAAAUAGCUGUUGAAAUGAGGAGAAACAUAUUGUUACUUCAGUUCCUGCUGUUUCUAUUGGGAUUUCAGUGAAAUUUUGGGAAGUGAUAGUUAAAUAAAGUGGAAUUAUUUAUAUACA
This 1015-nucleotide long non-coding RNA is filed under the name Numida meleagris (helmeted guineafowl). RNAcentral describes it as "lncRNA (ENSNMEG00000000293.1)". The record is from RNAcentral. Lineage: Eukaryota; Metazoa; Chordata; Aves; Galliformes; Numididae.